This 252-nucleotide ribosomal RNA is filed under the name uncultured bacterium. RNAcentral's name for it is "partial 16S ribosomal RNA". It matches the Rfam family "Bacterial small subunit ribosomal RNA", at positions 524 to 776 of the family's 1533-position model. The record is from RNAcentral.
UACGGAGGAUGCGAGCGUUAUCCGGAUUUAUUGGGUUUAAAGGGUGCGUAGGCGGGUUAUCAAGUCAGCGGUAAAAUCGUGGAGCUCAACUCCAUCCAGCCGUUGAAACUGAUGAUCUUGAGUGGGCGAGAAGUAUGCGGAAUGCGUGGUGUAGCGGUGAAAUGCAUAGAUAUCACGCAGAACUCUGAUUGCGAAGGCAGCAUACCGGCGCCCGACUGACGCUGAAGCACGAAAGCGUGGGUAUCGAACAGG